ACACUGCCAAAAGAAAGCAUUUGCCACCUCUAAAGCCCAUAAGAAUUUCCCAACAAUCAGCAAGCUGGUGCAUCGUAACAGGAAAAAGUUCUCCCCAAACCUGGCAACUCUAAGCUACAUUCCACUUCAUUAAGCAUCUCACUUGUUCGCCCAUUAACAAAGUGCUGUGGUCAAUUCUGGUUUCAAUGUUUGAGUCCCACAUGAUAAGCACUGGGUUCUGAGACAAGGCCCAGGAGUAAGGACAUGGCUCUGGGGAAAUGUAUGAGCUUCCUUCUACUGUGGAGGAAGCUCACAGAAAUGCAAAGUCAGGAAGCUACAGAGGUUAGUGCUUCAUGGAGUGAAAGGACAGAGGGAUAUCCGUAGGCAGCACCUGGGACUGACAGGCAGGCCAGCCAGGCUGCGAGGGCCUGAGGGUUUGUAUUUCCUUCCAAAGGCAGAGUAUGGAGGGAGGUUUCAAUCAUGUCCCUAAGUGGCAGUGCAGGGAACAGAGUGGGAGGCGGGUGAGGACCCAGUUGACAACAAGAGUGUGGGCAGGAGGGACAGGGAAGGCACAGUCCGCCAGAUUUGGGGUCAUUGGACAUGGGAAAGGUGAAUGAAGGGGAAAGAGACAAGAAAGCCUGGGGUUCCCAGCCUGACUGAGCACUAGGCAAAGCAGCUCUCCACCAAGGGUAGGCAGGAAGCCAGUGUGCAGGCCCCCCUCAGCGGAGCACCGAGGGGUUCAUGGGACUCCAGGCGCAAAGAUUUCAAAUACAAGAGCCAAGGCUCUAGAGAGCAGUCUGAACAGGAAGUGACAGAGAGUCUGCAGAGGGAAGAAGGUUGGAGAAACCAGGCAGAUGAGGGAGCUCAAGCAGGGUAGCAAUGAAGUGAGGAAAAGCAGAGGAACUCUGGGAGACAGGAAGACCAGGGAGUUCAGGGAGGCUGCGUGGUCGGGUGUGGAAGACAGAGGAAGCAGCAGACAGGGCAUCUCAAAUUAUACUCAAUGCCCAGGUCCAUGGUGGUUUUGUCCACUGAUUGGCAGGUUUGACUGCCCCAUUUUCCCCCGAGCAGGGGCUGUGUCUAUCUUGUGUACACUGUCCCCUCCUUACCCAGAACUGGGCCUAAUACUCGACAAAAACCCAAGAAACAUAUAAUGUCAACUUCUGCGAAAGUUCUCAUCUAAAAGAAUGGAGAAUGGUCCCAUUCAAAGCAGUCCUCCACUUCUCUGUGUGACACAUGGGGUUUUGUAUAUUCUGAACCCAUCUCCUGCCUGCAGUGACCCUGUGCAGGUCAUUUGGGUGGCUGGGUUUUGGGUUCCUCCACUAUAGAGACAAGGCAAUGAUCAUAAAGAAUAAACGAAAGGAGGUUUGUCCAGGCCAGCAAGGGGGUGCCAGGGAGUGGCAGGCUAGUUACCUUGCAGGAAGUGCUCAGUAAGUGGUAGUUCUUUUCAGGGUCAAUGCAGGAUUCUAGACGAAGGCCACCUACUCAAUCCAUACUUCCAAAAAUUAAUCAUCCAACACUCUCAUAACACAAACCCAAAUGCAAAGAAAGCUAAUCCCCCAAGGUUUAAAUUAGCUGCUAGAAUGGGCAACAUUACAUUGUGCCUUAAGAAACUUCAGGGGCUGGGGAUGUGGCUCAAGCAGUAGCGCGCUCGCCUGGCAUGCGUGUGGCCCAGGUUCGAUCCUCAGCACCACAUACAAAAAUGUUGUGUCUGCCGGAAACUGAAAAAUAAAUAUUGAAAUUCUCUCUCUCUAAAAAAAAAAUGAAAAACAAAAACCUUGCAGCUGACUAGCACCUGAUCCCCCAACCUAAAGGGUCAGCUCCAAGUUUCUUUAAAAAAAAAAAAAAAGAAACUUAAGGAAACUCAUUUCCUCUUAGAAAACCACUUCUGCCCAUGGAUCUCAGAGUUUGGAGGCCCUGGGCCCCUUUAGACACUAUCUGGGGCCAGUCAUCUUGCUGACUUGUCUCAUGUUGUCUUGCUAUAUUUUCUACUUCUUUUUAAGAUAUUCUCCUGGAAAGGGCUGAUGAUAUAGCUCAGUGGUAGAGUUCUUGCCUAGCAUGCAAUUCCCAGGAUAGCUGCCCCCCCCACCAAAAAAAAAAAACAACUUUCACCUGAUUAUAAUCAAGAUAAUGUGGAUGAAUUCAGGGUUCUACUUUUCUAAGCCAAGCCAGUUAAAUUCAAUAAAUCUAAUAUUUUUAUGGAACUAGAAUGGAGACAACAGGGUCCUAAACCUGAAACAUUCUUUGCAUAAUUUAAACUUUUUUACAGAAAAAGAGGAACUCAUUUCUAUUGUCUUCCAAACUUCUUCCAAGUAAAUACAGAUUAUAAUUAUUCCAAACUUACAAAUGCAAGCAGCUCUUGGAACUACAUGGGAAGUCCUAUGGUCAUUUUAUUUAUCUAUCUAUUUAUUUAUUUAUUUUAGUUGUAGGUAGACACAAUGCCUUUAUUUUAUUUAUUUGUUUUUAUGUGUGCUGAGGAUUGAACCCAGUGCCUCACAUGCAAGGCAAAUGCUCUGCUGCUGAGCUGUGACCCCAGCCGUCCUAUGGUCUUUUUAAACAGAAACCUAACAGUGACUUCCCACUACCACGACAAAGAAACAGUAUCCAGAACAGGAUGUAAGAGUGUCUACCUCCUCCAGCAGGGCUCUGCUCCCUGAGGCAUUCCUCCUCAUGGUCCCAGCAGGGCCUUCGUGGGGCUGGGAUGCUCGGAUCCUCUGAUGGACAGCUGCACUAGACUCUGCCAGGGUCUGCAAGUCUCCACUUCUUCUAGGUCCAAGGUGACUCUCUGAUCCCAAAAGAGCUGAAUGACUUCCAUUUUCUGGCUCAGGUACCAAUGCCUCUUCUACAGACUGCCCAUCCUGGAUAAUGUCACACACCCCAAAACAAAAUAAAACAGGCAUGCUUUCUAUAUAUCACCAUGAAAGCCUUCAAGCAAAAAAAAAAAAAAAAAAUCAAAA
Molecule: non-coding RNA, 2933 nt
Organism: Ictidomys tridecemlineatus (thirteen-lined ground squirrel)
Lineage: Eukaryota; Metazoa; Chordata; Mammalia; Rodentia; Sciuridae
Source: RefSeq, a predicted model, not a curated record